Molecule: small nuclear RNA, 52 nt
Filed under: Cervus elaphus hippelaphus
Lineage: Eukaryota; Metazoa; Chordata; Mammalia; Artiodactyla; Cervidae
Source: RNAcentral
UACUCUGGUUUCUCUUCAGAUAGAAUGAAUCUUUUGCCUUUUACUUAGAUUU